UGCAUGAAUAGCUCAGUUGGUUAGCGCAUGGUGAUGAUAAUGCCAAGGUUGCAGGUUCGAUCCCCGUAUAGGUCAGUUGCAU
This 82-nucleotide transfer RNA is filed under the name Podarcis lilfordi (Lilford's wall lizard). RNAcentral's name for it is "tRNA.Ile". Lineage: Eukaryota; Metazoa; Chordata; Lepidosauria; Squamata; Lacertidae. The record is from RNAcentral.